GUGUGCUGCCGUGGAGUUAAAUGACGAUGACUGCCCUUGUAGGUGGAGUGCUUACAGACCAGUUAAUUCAUCACAGACCUGCCCCGCCCCACGGACAAAGUCUCCCAACUUCACAUCUUUCCGGUCCUCUGCAUAUACCUAACGGAAGUCUACAAACACAAAUACAGACCGGAGCUGGGGUCGGGUCCGGGAUCCCCCUAAAGAGUCACGACACCGUUAAGUUGUUUGUUGGACAGAUACCUCGAACCCUUGAAGAGAAGGAGUUGCGCCCAAUUUUUGAAGAAUUUGGACAAAUAUAUGAAUUGACCGUUCUUAAGGACAGAUUCACUGGCAUACAUAAAGGAUGUGCCUUUCUGACUUACUGUCACAAAGAGAGCGCUCUGAAGGCACAGCAAGCCCUGCACGAACAGAAGACCCUGCCGGGGAUGAACCGUCCAAUCCAGGUGAAACCGGCAGACAGCGAGAACCGGGCGGAAGACAGAAAGCUUUUCGUGGGCAUGCUCAACAAGCAACAAACGGAAGAUGACGUCAGACAGUUGUUCCAGCCAUUCGGAAAUAUAGAGGAAUGCACAAUAUUAAGGGACCAAAAUGGAAACAGCAAAGGUUGUGCUUUUGUUAAAUACUCUGGUCACAACGAAGCCCAGUCGGCCAUUAACGCCCUACAUGGAAGUCAAACGAUGCCGGUAAUGCUUGGCGCUUCUUCUAGUCUCGUAGUGAAGUUUGCGGACACCGAGAAAGAACGACAACUCCGUAGAAUGCAGCAAAUGGCGGGGCCAUUGGGGUUGCUUAAUCCCUUUGCUAUUUCACAGAUUGGUGCAUACGGUGCUUACGCCCAGUACGAUCCCUUACAGCAACAAGCUGCUUUGAUGGCAGCGGCAGCGACACAGGGAACAUAUUUAACUAGUCCCGUUUCCACUUUGGCUCACAUUCCACAGGUCGGCGCCCUAGCCACGCCCAACGGCAUCACAACGGGCGCCUUAACACCUACGACUGCCACGUUAGCUAACGGUACCACGGCUAUAAAUGGAGCGCCCCCUAGCGUGUUGUCGCCUACCGCCUUGGCAGGUUUUCAGAUUCCGCAACAUAACGGACAGACCCCAGAAAUCUACGCCAAUGGCAUUCCCCAUUAUCCGGGCGAGUGUCAGGUGGUUGAACUAGCCCAAGCCGUCACGAAUGGGGAUCCACUACAAGCUUAUGCCAGCAUGCAGCCAUAUGCCGGGAUUGCCUACCCAACAUACGGAGUACAGCAAGCAUUAGCCCAACACACCGCCAUCUUACCUGCCCAGAAGGAAGUUGUCUUUACAGGCCCAGAGGGCUGUAACCUCUUCAUCUAUCACCUACCCCAGGAAUUUGGAGACGCCGAACUGGCACAGAUGUUCAUGCCAUUCGGAACAGUUAUUAGUGCUAAGGUGUACGUGGAUAGAGCUACCAAUCAGAGCAAGUGCUUCGGAUUUGUUAGCUUUGACAACCCUACGAGCGCCCAGGCGGCAAUCCAGGCGAUGAACGGCUUCCAAAUCGGCAUGAAGAGACUCAAAGUUCAGCUGAAACGCCCCAAGGAUCAAAAUCGACCGUACUAAAGCUCCCACACUCUAGUUCUUAAGCUCAGGGACAACAACUCCUGCUUGUCUCAAACAAAGAGAGAUAACUCUGAUUCAAGCCAGGAAGACGUAUGAAUGGAACACACUACGAGGGACGUGACUCUGACGAUAACAGAGUACCUAAGGGAGACUACCCUAUACAUGACUUUAUCUGUAAAUAAUUUUCAUAACAAAUUUUUUUUAUUUUCUUAAAAAAGAACGUGUUCCCACCGUUUUUGUAAAUUACUGAAUGUUGUAGACUGUUCAACACGACUCAUUACGAGAGCUGUGUUACGGUGUGUAAAGAGACCGCAUUAUUUGGACGUAAACGACAUUUUCCCACCUUGCUUAUUUAUUAUAUUUUAUAAAAAUUAGUUUUAGUUACAUUGAAAUGUUUAUGAUAUAUAUUAUAUGUUAUAUAUUUAUUAUAUUUGACACAGUGUGUAUAUUUGCCCCAUAUAAAACAACCAUCAAGUUUUGAUGGGUCUUAUUUCGCUGGUAAACAUUCCAUGUUUUGUGAAGAUCGUACUACGAGAUGCCAUUGAUGUAAUUUCAACAGCAUUUUAAUGACUUUUUAUGUGUUAAGGUGUAAUUUUUACAAGAGAAUAUUUUCAAAUCAAAUAUUUAUAUAUUAUCAUAUAUAUUAUGUAUACGCACUGUGUAUUACUUCAUAUUAACGAUAGGCGGCCGCUCAUUGGAUGUUGUGAUUGGUUGCCAUGGACACCCUAGCUGUUGUCAGAUUUUUAAUGUUCACACGGUAGACAGUCAGCUCUGAAGAGUUUUGUGUAAUCUAGUGACAAAUUCAAUGUUGUUUUAUUUUUUAACAUCAAUGUAAAUUUGUUUUUCAGUAAGUGACAGUGUUUUAUUUUGGUGAAUCCUUGGUUGUUUUACAUGGGGAAAAUAUGUACAAAUUACUUGUAUAUAUCUUGAACAAAUGCAUUCCUGGUCAUUUUCAUUCAAUCCUGUCAUGAUAUCAUGUUGUGCCCUGGUCAGCCUCGUUUUCAUACCGGGCAGGGAUCAAAGUUCACAUUGUUGUUCAUUAUAUGAAAUUUUCUUGUUAAUGAUUUAAUCCAACACACGAUCAGCUUGGAUGUUAUUAAUUUGUUGACUGGCCCCUGUUUUUAUCGAUGGACAGAGAGUUUGUUAAUUAUUACUGGAACAAAGAACGUAUUUAUUUAUUUAUUUAUAUUUAUUUGUUUUAAAUAUCAUCAAGACAUUUUGUACAUAUGUAGUUUAGACCUGCAAUUCUACUUAGUUCACUUGGCAUAACAGUGUUCUCCGCCUAACAUGACAUACUAUUUUUGUUUUUGUUACAUAUUUAACUACGGUUAUACGGCAAAGGUCUGUAAAUAUUUGAACAGACUGAGUUUUGGAUACAAUGCCGGUUGUACAUUUAGUUAGCUUGUAUUUUGUCUUAAAAGGUCACAGCUGGUGAGUUCAGUGUUAUGUUACUUUAUAGAUUUGAAAAAUCCCAAGAAUGUGCAAUAUUUUAUAUAUAUUAGAGAUCAUAUAUCUAGUCAGGCAUUUAUUCACCUGAGAAAGACUCGUUGUUCCAACGUUGUGUUUGACCAUGUCCUUAGAAGACAUGUGAAGUUGGGUUAAUUGUACUUAACAUUGGGUAUGUGUACGUAUUUUUUUUUUUAAAUAUUAUUAAUUCUCAGGUGAGGAGUGCUGUUUUGAAAAAGAAAAUAUAAUUGGUGCAAUCUUUUAUAGCAAAAUUUCGUAUUUACUCGUGAAACUCUUGCAUAAUUGUGACAGUAAUGUCUCUUGUGUUUUUGGAGGACCUAAGAAUCUCAGUGAAUGUAACGGUAGAGACACUCGUGUCACCGACAAUUGAUACCAGGUUCUCCUGGUCUGUUUAGAUCUCGUGAUGUCUCGCCGCAUUCGCCCUCUGACGUGAGAACUAUUUUUGUUGGAUUAGAACAGAUUUUGUACACUUUGUUUUAUACUACUUUCUCUUGUACAUUUCUCUUUUCCUUUUCUUGAAUGUGUCAAUCUUUCCAAUGAGUAUUGAAUAUUUAUAAUGGAAGAGAAAAGAUUUUUUUUUCAAACAUAAUUUAUCCCAUUUGUAGAUGACGCACUCGUCAGAACAAUCAUGGCCUAGCAUGAUUCAUUAGCCUCAUAGUUAGACAUUACAUAUAGCUGAUUGUAAAAAGAAGCGAUAAAAUAAAAUAGUCAAUCAUACUGCAAGACU
RNA transcript from Ostrea edulis (European flat oyster), 3771 nucleotides. It is a transcript of the gene named CUGBP Elav-like family member 3-B, with no coding region annotated. The transcript is spliced from 14 exons. The record is from RefSeq and is a predicted model, not a curated record. Lineage: Eukaryota; Metazoa; Mollusca; Bivalvia; Ostreida; Ostreidae.